This 395-nucleotide ribosomal RNA is filed under the name Clostridioides difficile. RNAcentral's name for it is "bacterial LSU rRNA". It matches the Rfam family "Bacterial large subunit ribosomal RNA", at positions 2527 to 2925 of the family's 2925-position model. Lineage: Bacteria; Bacillati; Bacillota; Clostridia; Peptostreptococcales; Peptostreptococcaceae. The record is from RNAcentral.
CGAUGUCGGCUCAUCACAUCCUGGGGCUGUAGUAGGUCCCAAGGGUUGGGCUGUUCGCCCAUUAAAGUGGUACGCGAGCUGGGUUCAGAACGUCGUGAGACAGUUCGGUCCCUAUCCGUCGCAGGCGGAGGAAAUUUGAGAAGACCUGUCCUUAGUACGAGAGGACCGGGAUGGACGUACCUCUGGUGUACCAGUUGUCCUGCCAAGGGCAUGGCUGGGUAGCUAUGUACGGAAUGGAUAAGCGCUGAAAGCAUCUAAGCGCGAAGCCAACUUCAAGAUAAGAUUUCCCACCGCAAGGGUAAGACCCCAGAAAGACUAUCUGGUUGAUAGGUCGAAGGUGUAAGUGCAGCAAUGUAUUUAGCUUAUCGAUACUAACAGGUCGAGGACUUGACCAA